GGACUUUCUGUUUCUAAGCCAGCUGUGAUUGCCUCAUUAGAGCAAGGGAAGGAACCCUGGAUGGUUGUGAGGGAAGUGACAGGAAGAAAAUAUUCAGGUGAGUAAGCCAUUAUCAGGAAGCUAUUGCAGAAUGUUGGAAACUGGUCAGAAUAUUGAGUUUGCAAGGUUAUUAACAAAAAUAAGUAAGCGGGGCUGGGAAUGUGGCUCAAGCGGUAGAGCGCUCGCCUGGCAUGCAUGCGGUCCGGGUUCAGUCCUCAGCACCACAUACAAACAAAGAUGUUGUGUCCGCCGAAAACUAAAAAAAAUAAAUAAAUAUUAAAAUUCUCUCUCUCUCUCUCUCAAAAAAAAAAAAAAAGAAAAGAAAAGAAAAAUAAGUAAGCAAAUAAUUACAGAAAACCUGUUUCAAAAACCUGUUACAAAGCCACAGAAAUGAAACAGGAUGCUACUGGAGUGAAGAGAGACAUAUAGACCAUUGGAAUAAAGCACCCAGCCCAGAAAUAAACCCUUGUAUAUAUAGUAAAAUGGUUUAGUCAUGGGUGUCAAGACUGUUCAAUGAGGAAAGACACACUUUAACAAACAAUGUUGGGAAAACUGGAAAUCCACAUGUAGGGGAAUAAAAUUCAAACAGAUAUAAAAAUUAACUCAAAAUGGAUCAAAGAACUAAAUGUGAGAGCUAAAAUGAUAAAAACUCUUAGAGGAAAAUAUUAUGGAAAAGAUUCAUGACAUUGGAUUUGGUAAUGAUUAAUUGGCUAUGAUACCAAAACAUAGGCAGCAAAACCAAAAAGAGACAAAUGGGAAUCCAUCAAAUCAAACAUUUCUUUUCAUCAAAUGACACAAUCAGGAGUAGAGCUGUAGCUCAGUGGUAGAGCUCUUGCCUAGCAGGUAUGAGGCAUUAGGUUUCAUCCACAGUACCACAUAAAAUAAUCAAUAAAUAAAAUAUAGGCAUUGUGUAAAAAAAUCUUAAAAAAUAACACACAAUCAACAGGAUUUUAUUAUUAUUUUUUGUGUGUGGGUAUUUUACUGGAGUUGAACCCAAGGUCUCUUGCAUGCUAGGCAAGUGCUUUAUCACUAAGGUAAAGCCCUUUCUCUCUUUCUUUUUUAUGUUUUUAAAUACUGGGGAUUGAACCAGUAAGCUUCAUGCACAGCCAUUUUUAUUUUAAUUUUGAGAUAGUAUCACACAAAGUUUCCUAAGCUGACCUUGAACUUGUUGUCCUCCUGCCUUGACCUCCCUUGUAGCUGACCCAGUCUUCUACCCACCUUUUUAAAUUUUAUUUUGAGACAGGGUUAUAUUGCCUGGGCUAUCCUCAGACUUGCAGUUUUCCUGCCUAAUGUUUAUUAUUAUUUUUUAAAAGAUUCAUAUAAAUUGCUUUGGUAGGUGAUGGAAUAACAUUUUUAAUGUGUCAUGAAGACAUUUUCAAUCUAGUAGGGGAUCAAGAGUAUAAGAAAAAAUGUUUCAGUAGAACACUUAGGAAAGAAUUAGGAUUGUUUAGAAGUUGGGAGAGUUAAAUAAAAUAUGACUACUUUGAGGAGGUAGAGAUGGCAGAGUUGAUUGGGAUGGAAAGUGGUCAGCAAGGAAUUUUUGGGUUUCUGUGUGCCAACAUGGAAUAUUUAUGGUUCUGGAGGCCAAGAGCACAUCAUUAUACAGGUCAAAGAUCUUUAAUGAUGUCUACAACUCAUUACAUUGCUUAGAAACUGUGAAAGAAUACAUUUGUGUUGUUGUAAGCCAUCCAAUUUGAAGUAUUUUGUUGUAGAAGCCAUGAAAUACUAAUAGAAGGAAAUCAUAGAAAAAAGGAUACAUAUUUUUCUAUGUGUUUUAAUUUAAAGAUGUCAUUCCUUUACCAAGGAAAUCUUGUUGCCUGACUAGACUUUCCCUUUGGCUUGGGUAUAGAGAUUGAUUGAUUUUAUUUUUAUCUUUUUUUGAAGUGCUGAGUUUAAGCCCAGGGCCUUGGUAAGUACUCUACCGCUAAGCUGUUAUCUCCAGCCCUGGUAUAGUGAUUUUUCAAAAAAAAAUUUUUUUUUAAAUGGAGGCUCAUAGGAGGUUACAAAGAAAUGUACAGAAAGUCCUACAGUCUCCCCUAGUAUAAAUACCUUACACAACUAUAGUACAAUAUCAUACCAAAAAUUUGACAUUGCUACAAUCCAUAGAAAUUAUUCAGAUUUCUUGAGUUAUACACGCCCUUGUUUAUGUGUGUGUAUAAAUAACUAUAUGUAGUUUUAUCACAUGUAGCCUUGCAUCUCCACCACAAUAGUCAACAUAUUCAACAGACCAGUCACCACAAGACUCCCUGUGUUAUCUCUUUAUAGCUGCACAUAUUUCUUUUUCCUUUUCUCUAACCCUUGGUAGCCACUAUGCACUUAUCCAUCUUUAUAAUUACAUUGUUUCAUGAAUUCAAAUUAAAACCAAAAAUGAGAUACCUAUAAGAAUGGUUAAAAUGUAAAAUGAAAAAUAUAAUAUCAAAUGCUGGCUAGGAUUCAGAGAAAAUGGAUAGCUCGUGCAUGAUGAUGUAAAAAUGAAUGUAAAAUGGUAUGUAUGACCAUUGUGGAAAAUAGUUGGGCAUUUCUUUUCAAAACUGAAAAUAGAUUUACCAUACCACCCACAAUUUAAUUCUUGAACAUUUAUUGUAGACAAAUUAAGACUUAUUUUCAUGUACUAAUAUAUACAUGAAUGUAAGAAAUAUAAACAUAUGUGUGUACAUAUGUGUGUACAUGUGCGUGCGCACAUGUGUAUGUAUAUGAAAUAGGAAAAAAAGCCAAUUGAAUUUCCUUAGUGGUAAAUGGUAUUGAAUGUCUUUUCAUGUAUUUGUUGUCUGUAUAUCCUAUUAAGUAAAUUGUCUCUUGCUCAUUUUUUAAUUUGAUUGUUUUUUACUGUUAAGUUUCAAUGUUCUUUGCGUAUUCUUUCUUUUUUUGAGCCAGAGUCUAAUUUGCCCAGUUGACCUUGAACUUUCUAUCUUCUGCCUCAGCCUCCUGAGUAGCUAGGAUUAGAGGCCUUUGCCACUAUGCAUUCUUUGUGUAUUCUAGAAGGCCUUUGUUGGACUUUUUUCCCCAAGUCUAUAAUUUUUCUUUUCAUCCUUCCUUGCCCCACUCCCUAUACUGGAGUCUUUUAUCAUUAUGAUAUAAAUUAUAGAUUUUUCAUUUUUGUUUUUAAUGCCCUUUAUGAGAUGAAGGAAAUUUCCCUCCUCUCCUAUUGCCCCAAGAGUUUUUAUCAUGAAUGGGUUUUGAUGUAAUCAAGUUAUUUUUCUUCUUUGUCAUAUUGAUUUGAUGUAUUACAUCAAUUGAUAAAUCAUAAUAUAUUACGUAGUAUAAUAUAUGUAGUAUAUUAUAUGAUAAAACAGUAUUUUUUAUUGUUGUUGGGUUGGAUUCAUAAAAUUAAUUGAGGAUUUUUUAUUUAUGUUCAUGAAAGAUAUUGGCCUGUAGUUUCUUUUUUUGUUCUGACUUAGCCCAGUUUUUGUAUCAGAGUAAUUACUGACCUUGUUAGGUGAGUUGGGAAGUAUUCCCUUUUCUUUUAUUUUCUAGAAGAAAUUAUUUAAAACAUAUGAGUGGCAAAAUAAAUUUUCCAUUGAAAUCAUCUGGACCUGGAGAUUUCUUUGGGGGACUUUGUGUGUGUACAUGCGUGUAUGUGUGUGUAUAUGUGGGUAUUUUACUGGGAAUGUAACCCAGGGGCACUCUACCACUGAGCUGUACCCCUAGCCCUUUUUUAUGUUGAGUCAGGCUCUGGCUGAGUUGCCUGGCUGUCCUCAAACUUGUGAUCCUCCUGACUCAGGCUCCCAAGUUAUUGGGAUUACAGGUGUGUGCUCCAGUGCCAAGCUAUUUCAGGGGCAUUUUUUUUAGUUGUAGUUGGACACAAUACCUUUAUUUUUAUGUGGUCCUGAGGAUCAAACCCAGGACCUUGAACAUGCUAGGCAAGCACUCUUCCGCUGAGCCACAACCCCAGCACCUUUCAGGGGUAUUUUGAAUUACAAAUUCAAUUUCUUUAGUAGUUGUUAGACUAUUCAGAUGAUCUUUUUCAUCUUGGCUGAGUUUUGAUAGUUAAUUGUUUCAAGGAAUUAGUUCAUUUCUUCUAAGUCAUUGAAGUUAUAAGUGUAAAGUUGUGUGUGUGUGGGGGGGUGUAUGUAUAUAUAUAUAUAUCCUGCCACAUGCCACUUAAUGAGGGGAAUACAAUGAGAAAUGAUACUUAGGCAACUUCAUUGUUGUAUGAAACUCAUAUAACUCAUGUUUACAGAAACUAAGAUAGCUUCACCAUCACUGGGCAAUAUAAUUUUAUGGACCACCAUCAUAUAGGCACUCUAUCAUUGACUGAAGCAUAUUUAGGUCAUGUGUGGCUUUAAAUAAAGGAUGUCCUUAUGAUCCUUUAAAUUUCUUUGCUAUUUCCUCUUUGACCUGCAGAUCAUUUUUAAAUUAAUUAAUUUUUAAAUUGACAAAUAAAAAUUGUACACAUUUAUGGUGUACAACAUAUUUUCAUAUAUGAAUACAUUGGGAAAUGAUUAAAUCAAACUAAUGUAUGAUGAGAGCCUUAAGUGAUACCACAACAUGGCAGAGAAGCAGAAGAGCAAGUAGGUGUGUGCCAAAGAAAGAUGACUUCCUCCCAUGAGAUCUCUCCCAAGAACAACAUUAAUCCCUUCCUAGGGGCAGAGCCCCCAUGACACAAACCCACCUCUUAAAAGUCCCACCCCUCUCAGCUCUUACCCUGGGGGGGCCAGAUUUCAAUGUGCAUUUUGGAAGGGACAAACCAUAGCAAUGUGGUUUACAGGAAGCAAAGAGAUUGACCACUUAUAUCUCACGUGGAAGAGUCAUGUGGAAUGAAGACUGGCACUGGAGCACUGAUUAUGGGAUAGUGAUUUUCACGGUGACCUAGGCUAAAAAUAUUUCAGUAGAGUUGAAAUAUUUAUUGAAGUGAGUUAUAAAUGACUAACAUAUAGGCAGGGAAAGGAAGUUCUAUUCCAUAAGUGGUACUGAAUCAGUGGGUAUCUGUCUAGAAAAAUAGUAAUAUUGAUUCCUACCUCAAACCAUCAAAAAUCAAAUCUGCAUGUAUUGUAGAUGUAAAUAUGAAAGGUAAAAGAGUAAAACUUCUAGAAGAGAGUAUGGAUAUAUUUUCGUGACCUUUGGAUUGAAUUAGUUUAAAAUGAAAAAUUUCGACUCAUUAAAACAUAAUGAAUAAAAACAGAGUGAAAGUGCUAGCUUAGAAUGGGAGAAGAUAUUUGCAAUAUAUAUGUUGGUAAUAUUCAGAACAUAUAAAGAAUUCAUACAAAUCAGUAAUAAAAAACAGAAACCACCCACAGGGCCAUUAAUUGAUGAAUUGAUAAAUGUGGCAUAUCCACCCAAGGUAAUAUUAUUCAGCUAUAAAAAAGAAUGAAUGCUACAACAUAAUUGAAACUUUAAAACAUGUACAGUGAAACAGCAAGAUCUAAAAGGUCAUAUAUUAUUUGAUUUCAUUUAUAUGAAAUGUCCAGAAUAGGAAAAUCCAUAGAGGCUUAAAAAUUUUUGUGGUUGCCAGGAUGGUGGAAAGAGGGAAUGGGAUGUGACUGUGUAUAUGAUUUCUUUUUGGAGUGAUAAAAAUAUUCUUGUAUUUAGAUAGUGAUGAUGUUGUACAAUACUGAGAUUUGACUAAGUUAUUGAAUUGUAUGUGUGUGUGUGUGUGUGUGUGUGUGUGUAUAUAUAUAUAUAUAUAUAUUUUUUUUUUUUCGUCUGUGUGUGAAUGGAACUGGGGAUUGAACCCAGGGGUGCUCUACCUCAGAGCUACUUCCCUAGACCAAUUUUGUUUGUUUUCUGAGACAGGGUCUUAGUAAAUUUCUGAGGCAGGCCUUGAACUUGAAAUCUUCUUGCCUCAGCCUCCCAAGUCACUGGAAUUACAGGUGAGUACCACCACCAUACCUUAUUGAAAGGCUAAAAUGGUAAAUUUUAUGUUUUAUGAAUUUUACAUAAAUAUCAAUAAUAAUGGACAAAUUUUAUUAAAGAAAAUGCCCAUGCAGCCAAUAAGCAUAUGAAAAAGUGCCUCAUUUGCAGUUGUGGAAGUUGUAAAUUAAUUACAAUUUAAUAUCAUAACAUAAUUGCCAUGACAGCCAAUGGUAAAAAGAUUGACAAUAACAAGUGUUAUUGAAGAUGGAUAGAACUGGACCUCUCUUAGCAUCUGAAGGAAUCUUUAAUUAAAAAACAGUUGGAUAGUAUCAACUAAAGGCUAAAAAAAUGUAUAUACUUACUAUGAUGCAGCAAUUUCACUUUUGUGUGUAUACCUACUAGAAGGAAAUCCUAACUUCUAUCCAAAGAAAUGUAUAAGAAUAUUCAUGCACCACUAGUCAUAAUAACCAACUGGGAACAACCUGAAUGUCCAUGAUUAGGAAUAAGAAAAAAUAAAUUGUGUUAGAAUAUACAGUCAUCAGUUUUUAUUUUGAAGAUACCUGAAUACUCCCCCAAAUUAUUGAGGACUCUAGGAGCUCUUGUGUAUAUAUAUAUCAUAUCUUUCAGUAUUUACUAUCUUAGAAAUAAAAUCUAGGAAAAAAUUUACUUAGUUAAAAAAUGGUAUACAGAAUAUUAACAUAAAUAUUUUAUGACAAUUAUUUUUCCCAAAAAAAAGAUAUUUACUGAGAAAGUGACAGUAUUUUGUUUUUAUUUUUGCAUAUUUCCUUAAUGCCUAGACUAAAAAAAGAUAGCUGGACUGUCAUCUCUGUCUGCAUAUACUGUUAAAAUCCAUUUUUAAAAUUUGUUUUUUUUUUUUGGGGGGGGGAAGGGGACCUUUAAUUAACCCAGGGGUGCUUUACUACUAAGCUGCAUCCCCAGACGUUUUGGGUAUCACUAAGUUGCUGAGGCUGACCUUGAACUUAUGAUCCUCCUGCCUCAGCCUCCCCAGUUGCUAGGAUUAUAGACGUGUGCCACUGAUCUUGGCCUAUCUUAGUUUUGAAUGGAUCUCUUACCUGUGUUACCCAUUUUAUAAUACUGUGCUUUAGUCACUUGGAAAAUAUUGCUUCAAUUAAUUAUUCAGAUAUUCCUACACUGUCAGAACCCCCUAACAAUCUGUAGUUCCUGUUACAGCAGACAUGCUAAAGACACACACACACACACACACAUCCAAUAGAAAUGAGCCCCUCUUUAUUUUUUCCAUACUUCUUUUAUACAGCAAAAAAGAAUCACAUCCUCUCGGCAGCUUAAUCUUUUAAAGCAUGGAUAAACAUUCUCAGAAUAACUUUGUUCAUGGUCACAGUGCUCCAUACUUCUUAUUAUCUGACUUGUAGUUAGUUAUUUCUUGGCAAGCAUAUCUAUAUCUAUAUCUAUAUCUAUCUAUCUAUCUAUCUAUAUAAAACUUGGCAAAACAUUCUUUUAUCUUCUUAAGACAGCAACAAGGACACAGUUCAAAGAGUUCAUAGUUUCUCACAGAACCCCUUUGUUUUGCUAAGCACAGCAAAACUUAACACUUUGUGUGCAUGAGCAUACACUACACUAACACAUUUUCUCUCAAAUAACCAAAAAUAUGUUAUUUUAUAAUAACCAGUAAUGUUUGUUAAUAUGAUCGGUGAUCUCAUCAGAAGAGUCUUUUUUAAGUAUUGGGAAAAUGUUAGACUCAUAAUAGCUGAAACAAACUUUCCAAAAGUCUAGUUUUUUUGUUUUUUGUUUUUUUGGUAUUGGGAAUUGAACUCUGGCCACUCAGCCACUGAUCCACAUCCCCAGCCCUAUUUUGUAUUUUAUUUCGGGACAGGGUCUCACUGAGUUGCUAAGCACUUCAUCAUUGCUGAGGCUGGCUUUGAACUCUUGAUCCUCCUGACUCAGCCUCCCGAGCUUCUGGGAUUACAGGCAUGGGCUACCACGCCUGGCUUCUUGUUGUUGUUGUUUUUGUAGAUGGACACAAUGACUAUUUUUAUUUAUUUAUUUUAUGUGGUGCUGAGGAUCAAACCCAGUGGCUCACACAUGCUAAGCAAGCGCUCUACCACUGAGCUACAACCCCAGCCCCCUGCCAAAGUCUAGUUUUUAACUUGAAAGGUAGAAUUGUAUCAUUGACAAAUAGUUUUUCUUGAAGUGACAGAUUUUUUUUUUUAGUUUUCUGAAAUAAUUAUGGUGCCUAAAUUACCAUAGCCUGUUUGUUGUUCUCUCAAGUAAAAAUUGAAUUCCUUGAGAAAUAAAGUAACUAGUUCAAUUUGCAACUGAAAUAAUUUAGUUUAUGCUUUUUCCUCAAAACCGUCAAUCUACUUUUGUAUACAGCAGCACCAUGUUUCAUCAUAUAAAAUAUACCAAACAUGAACUGAAGGCCUGAGAUAUAACAAAACUAAUCAUAUUUUCUGAUCAUCAUGAGCAUUCUUAAAUGAAUCUGUCAUUUCCCCCAACAGAUAAUGGCAAUGAAGAAGAGUGAUAAUGUACACUUUGGUGCCACUGCUUUGAUUCAAGCUAAGGCACGAGCAGUUCUACUCAUUAUUACUUUUUGUAUAGAUAUUAAUAGGAAUUUCCAGGAUAAAUCAUGAGAUUAAAAAAAAGUCAUUUAAAUCCCUACUAUUCAGGAGGCUGAGGCAGGAUUUUUUGAACCCAGGAGUUAAAGGCCAGUCUGGGCAACAUAAUGAGAUUCCCAUCUAAAAAAAGUUUUUUGCUUUGAAUAUUUUAGUACUACAACGAUGUUUGUUAUCAAGCAUUUAUAUAAAGAAUCUUCUUUUAAUGAUUAAUUUGUACUCACGCUAGUCAGAUACAAACAAAACACUAAGUCCAGCUACGUGGAUGAAUUUAUUUGUAAGACAAAAGUACAAUUCAGUCUUCCUGUUUGCAAUCUAGUAUUUCUGUUUACAGGUUAGUCUAUAAUUUGAGUUUAUUAAUUUGAAAUUUGUACUUUUGUGAUUUGUUUUACUGACAUCUCAUCCAGCAGGUAUCACAUGUACAAAUGUCAAAAGACAAAAUUACUGCAAAUUGGUUAUAGAUCUAAUUGGUUUAUUUUAAAGUAUUUUUUAGUUGUAGAUGGACACAACACCUUUAUCUAUCUAUCUAUCUAUCUAUCUAUCUAUCUAUCUAUUUAUUUAUUAUGUUGUGCUGAGGAUCAAACCCAGUGCCUCACACAUGCUAGGCAAGUGCUCUACCACUGAGCCAUAACUCCAGCCCCUCUAUAAAAUAGAAUAAAAGCUCCUGUUGGGCAGCAGCAGAAUUGUAAAUUUUGUAACAUGGGAACAAGGAAACAGAACAGUAGAAAAGAAAAAAACCUGAGAAAAGAAAAAAUUAACAUUAAGUUACUUUUUUUGUAAGGUUAACCCUUAAAAAUUUAACAUCAGGUAUUUCCUUAUCUUAUAAGCUAAAACUGGCUUGUUUAGGAAUUUGAUUAUUCUCUUUCUCCUGACUUCUCAAGUCAGAUUAAAAAAAAUGCAUUUUGACUUGGUGACAUGAACUUUCAUCUUGAGUAACUCCAUUUUGGUUGGUCUGUUGAACUUAUUGCAGGAACUCAGUCCCAACUAACAGCAGCCUACAAAUUUUCUUUAAACACAAGUCUCUGAAAACUAUUGUGUGCAAUUUCUACUGUUUUUCUAUAAGACGAUUUCAGUGGAGUUUUUAUUUCUAGUUUCAAUAGUUAUAGCAAAACAACUGUCUUUUAAAGAGCUCACUGUGGCUAUUUUUUAAAUAUUAAAAAUAUUAAAUUUCUUUUUCUUUACACUGAUUGGUCCCUUAUUCUUCCUGUUUUUAUUUCCAUGUGGCUACAUGGAAACUGGGAUUUCAAAAUAAUUUCUUGGACGGUAAUAAAGCUACAGAGAUAAAAGCAUGUCUGAAUAAAUAUGGUUUUUAAGAGCACAGAAGUGCUGAAAACAAAAUGAAUUAGUCUUUGAAAGUGUACGUUUAGACAGCAUGGCACUGGUUAGCCACUGCAGGAUGGUAGCGCAGCGGCUGGACAAGUAAGUAUUAAGCAAGCUGCAGUCCCCAUUGUGGGCCCACAGGAGCUGCAGCUGGACGACGUGAAGUGGAUCAACUUGGAGGAGCUAUACUGUGGCAGCAAGGCAGACAUGCCUGAUGAGGUUAAUAUCAAUGAGUUAUUAGAAUUGGAGAAUGAACAGGAAAGAAGCCAGAAUAUCCAGGGACUCCUGAAGCAAAAAAUGCAGGAAUCCUAUACAAGAUUCUGUUCAAGAGCUGCUGGCCAAGCUGUGGGGCCUCCACAAGCAGUCUGGCCUCUGCCAUCUCAGACCCUCAGAUGAGCCCCUCAGGACAGGUUCAGACUAUACCCCAUGACCCUUUCUCACCUCUGACUCCCGUGCUCUCUCCAAUAUUGCCCAGUUUGCCCAACUUGUAUUUAAUGGUUCUGUAACAAUAACUCCAUGUUCCUGUUUUUCCUCUCUGUGGUUACCUGGGCUUCUCUGUGGCUCCUACCCACAACCUCCCUCUCUCCUGUUGGGGUCUUGUGUCCCAGUACAGCUCCUGGCAACAGAUGGAGGAUUGCUCCUGUCCUGAGAACCUGAGAACAGCCAUGGUAACAGAGGGGUACCUCAGGACUCAUCCUGUGCUCACCAACCCCCCUUGCCUGGGCCCAGUCCCAGCCAGCAGGGUCCCUGUAGGCUGGAGGCGCCCAGGGAUGCUGGGGGCAAUGACAGCCUCGACUUCCGGGCCAGGGGAGGUACACAUGACCCACUGUGGCCCAUAUCACCUCAACACAGGUGGUCAAAGAGCAAACGAGUCAUUCAUCCAUGUCAAAAAAAAAAAAGGACAUAUUUAUUGGCUAAAUUUACUACUUUAGAAACAAAUAGAAUAUACAAAUACAUAAUUAUUCCAUUAAAUUUCCAAAUAUGACAAUAUCCUGCCGGGGUCCAGCCCUAGCGGGGUCCAGGGAAUCCUGAAGGAUGAGUGGCGUCGGUGAAAAGAUGAACAGGAGUCGUUUCGUUGGAGCAAUCUCCAGAGAGAGAGAGCUCUAAUGCAGCUUUCUCUGGAUCAUCUUUUAUUAUAAUUUUUCUCAUCAUUAUAGAUUCAGAAUACAUCAUUGAUUAUACAGUUUCAAAACUUUGCCAAGACAUAAUGUUUCCUUAACCAUAAUUAGGGGUAUAGAAAAGUGUAACAUCAAUUUACAUUUUUCCAGGAUGUGACUUUUUAGUUAUCAAUCAUUAAUAAAAUGCGUCAUUAAUUCACAUUUUUUUCAGAUUUUCCCAAAAUGUACUAUUUUCUUAUUAACUAAUGACAAACUAUGUAACCAGACUCUAAGUCUCCUAACCUAUCAUUAACAUUUAAGUUUUAAAGUACACCUGCACUUUUAUUUCUAAUCUAAAAUUCCCAUCUAAAAAAGUCCCUUUAAAUCUUAUACUUAAAAUAUCCUAAAGUUUAUAAACCAUUCUUAAAACAUAUCAGAAACCCAUACAGCUAAAAACUCAAGAAUUCUAAACCAAGAAUCUAAAUAGGAUAAUACUUCUAACAUUAUUCUAAAAAUAUGUCUUAUAAAGCUACUUUAAUUAAUUCCUAAAUUUAUUCUCAUAAAACUGGUUCAGCUGCUUUCUCAAAGAGUAUCUUUGUUUCUCAGUCAAGGUACACUAGUUCUUAUAUCUUUAUAAUCUUUCUCAAUAAAAAGUAAAUUCUAAACAUCAGUCCACUUUCCGCCAAUAUUAAAUAUGCUCAUCAUAAAUCCCUAUAUGAAGUAAAAGAGGGUUUAUAGAAAUGAAAAGAAUGUAUCCUUAUAUGUCUUAACUUUCCUAAAUGUAUAACAUAACUUUCCUUAAUCAAGAAUGAAACAACAUACAGUGGGUUUUGUACAAUGAGCAUAAUGAUUAGGUUUUCUUAAAGGCCGGAAAUAUGGGCUUGGGUUCUAGUUGAUAUAAUCAAUGUGGUGCCUAAAAUUCUCAUGACCUUUCAGAAAAUGAUUGUCUAUUAUCAGUUUUGUCCUCAGUGUGCUGAUAUGGAAGAGCAGCUUUCUACUUUGUCCUUGAUAUGCUGAGGGGUAGUAGAACAGCUUUUAAGGCAUGAACUACCUGUUAUGUUCUAGCCAUCUGAAAUUUAAUUUGGUUUGGCAUUUAACAUACUCAUGCCUCCUGUGAGGAACAUGAGCAUGAAAAUGAAAAGUCCCAAUUACAUAAAAAGGGGUCUCAUGGUUUCGGUUUCCCACCAACCAGCAUGGCUUUGCCAGCAUUCAUCCUCACUGUGACCUUGUCAAGGCAGUGGGAAAGUAGCUUUGCCAGUGAGAGGGGGAUCACCUUCACCAAUAUCCCAUAUCCAGAAGUCUCAGAAACUUUCCAGUACUAGUCAAAGAAUGAAAGAAAUAGGCAACUAAAAGCUGGGCAUUGUGGCAUGCAUCUGUAGUCCCAGCUACUUGAAGGCUGAGGCAGGAGGUUCUCUUGUACCUAGGAGUUUGAAGCCAGCCUGGACAACUUAGAAAGAUUGUCUCUUAGAGAGAGAGAGAGAGAAGGAAGGAAAGAAAGGCAAAAUGUGUUCUGUUAUUAGUAUGAUGAUAGCUUUGACUCUAAGACCCUAAGAGUCUCAGAUUCACUCAUGAGUUGCUAGAGCAUGCUUUACUGUUCCUAUACAGUAAUGAAAAUUAAUAAGUCACUGCUGUGUGUAACAUUAUGGAUGAACCCUACAAACACAGUAUUUGAUAAAAGAAGAUGAGGGAAAAAUUACAAACUGUAUGAUUCUUUUUAUUGGAAAUUCAGAAACAGACAAAAGAUCAGUGUAAGUAUAAGAAUACAGGAAAUUGUUUACCUUGAGUGAAUAACAAGCCAACUCUGAGAGGCCCUAAGCAACUCAGUGAGACCCUGUCUCUUAUAAAAUACAAACAGGGGCUAGGGAUGUGCCUCAGUGAUUAAGCACCCCUGGGUUCAAUCCCUGGUACCAAAAAAAGUAUUGAAAUUCUGUAACAAGGGGCUGGGGCUGGGGCUUAGUGGCAGAGUGCCGCGUCGCACAUGUGAGGCACUGGGUUCAAUCCUCAACACCACAUAUAAAUAAACAAAAUAAAGAUAUAAGAAAAAAUAUCAACGUUAAAACAAAAGAAAAAAGGAAGAAAAAGAAAAAGAAGUUAUGUAACAAGGGCUGGGCUGUACCUUAGUGGUAGCCUAGCCAUGUUAGGCAAUGGUUCUGAUCCUCUGCACAACGUAAAAACAAAUAAAACAAAUAAAUCUAUUGUAUCCAUUUACAACUAAAAUUAUCUAAAAUAAAUAAAUAAAUACAUCUUUUAAAAAAUUCUGUGACAUUCUUAACUAUCCUUUGAAAAUGGGACAUCCCAAAAUUACUUGUGUCUAACAAAUAGAAUGCAGCUGAAGUGAUACUUUGUGACUUCAAAGGCUAAGUCAUAAAGGUAGUCAGCUUGUGCCUGGCAUAUGUUCACACCCUCCCUCCUGUAUCUCUCCACAUGUUUUGGAGGCUUGAGCUGCCAUGUAAGAGGGUCUCAACAGACUUAGCUCUUCUAAUCCCCAGCUUCUCAUACUUUUCAAGCUAAGAACCAGACAUGUGAGUGAGGAAGCUGUUGAAAUGAUUUGGCCUGACCACUAUCUGACUACCACUUAAGAAACUCCAAGUAAGGAAUGGCUGACUGAGCUCAAAUCUGAAAGAUAAGUUAUUGGUACUGGUUUAAUCCACUAAAUUAUAGUGGAUUGUGUGUGUGUGUAAAAUAAGAUUGUGUGUAUGUGUAUAAAAUAUCUGUUAUUAAAUACUCCUGUGUGUGUGUGUGUGUGUGUGUGUGUGUGUGUAUAAAAUAUCUACCAAAUACUCCAGUAGAUGUAGGGGUGAGGAAAAUUAUGGGACGUGUUAAGGAGUUAUUGCAAAUUUAAGGGUUUUAAAUUAUUACAGUUCUCAACAGUUUAUUAUCUUUGACUUGUUUUGCAUUUCCCCCCCCUCAAUCCUACUUCUUUAAAUAUAUACUCAGCACGGGCUGGGGUUGUGGCUCAAUGGUAGAGCACUUGCCUAGCACACAUGAGGCACUGGAUUUGAUCCCUGUCACCACAUUUAAAAAAAAUAAAGUCAAGUCAUUGUGUCCAUCUGCACCUAAUAUAUAUAUAUUAUAUAUAUAUAUAUAUACACACACACACACACACACACAUACUCAGCAGUUGGCUAUUGAAUACUUAUUAGUUAUAUCUUGAUUUUCUAUCCUUAAACAAGUGCAUGAAGAGGGAACCUACAGAAUGAAAGAAAAAUUUUGCCACCUGCACCUCACAUAGAGCAUUAAUCUCCAGGAUCUAUAAAGAACACAAAAACUUAACCCCCCCAAAAUAAAAAUAAAACAAAUAAUCCAAAAAAUUGGCAAAGCAGCUGAACAGGUACUUCAAGAAGAAUUACAAAUGGUCAACAAAUAUAUGAAAAAAUUUUCAUCUCUAGCAAUUAGAGAAACGCAAAUUAACUGAGAUUCCAUCUCACUCCAGUCAGAAUGGCAAUUAUCAAGAAUGUAAGUAACAAUGUUGGCAAGGAUGUGGAGAAAAAGGUAUGCUCAUACAUUGCUAGUGGGACUAUAAAUUACUGUGAACACUCUGGAAAGCAGUGUGAAAAUUCCUCAGAAAACUUAGAAUGGAACCACCGUUUAACCCAGUUAUCCUACUCCUCAGUAUAUAAGCAAGGACUUAAAAUCAGCAUACCACAGUAAUGCAGCCACAUCAAUGUUUAUAGCACCUCAAUCCAAAAUAGCUAAGCGAUGUGCCCUUCAACAGAUGAAUGGAUAAAGAAAAUGUGAUAUAUAUACACAAUGGAAUAUUAUUCAUUCAUUAAAAAAAGAAUGCUAUAUGACUUUCAUCAAUAUAUGGAUGAAACUAGAGAUUAUCAUACUAAGUGAAAUAAAUUAAUCCCCAAAUACCAAAGGUCGAAUGAUCUCUCUGAGAUGCAGAUGCUAACACACAACAAUGGGGCAGGGCACAGGGAGAAUAGUUCAAUGGACUAGACAAAGGAGAAUGAAGGGAAGGGAGGAGAGAUUGGAAUAGGAAAGACAAUAGAAUGAAUCAGACAUAACUUUCCUAUGUUCACAUUUGAAUACAUCAUGUACAACCACAAGAAUAAGAUCCUAAUAGGAAUAAGUUAUACUCCAUGUAGGUAUAAAAUGUCAAAAUACUUUCUACUGUCAUGUAUAUUUAAAAAGAACAAAUUUAAAAAUUGAAGAGGGAGAAUUAGCAAUUAGGGCUUGGGUCAUCUGGAUCUGAGGAGAAGUUCUCAGAAGUUACUAUAUAAUACAUCUGGAUUUCUUUAGGGAGAACCCAGUUACAUGGCACACCAAGGUGCAAAAGAGUUUGAGAAAUGCAGGUUUAUAAUGAGGAGAUUUGUUCUCAACUAUGUAAACAUGAGUUCAUUGAUAUUUUCAAAAAGGGAAGAACAGAAAUUUGGGAACAACUUGCAGUUGCCACAUAGACUUUGGGUUAGUGGGGAAUAUUAAACAUACUAUUGUGGAUUCUCAUUCAGUUAAUCUCAUACUAUGAUCAACAUUCUUAGAUUUUGAUUUGGUUGGUCUAGAAUGUUUCCUAAAUAUAACAUAAUUACAUUCAGUGAUUGAUUUCAAAGCAGAUCAAAAUUUUAGGACUAUUGCUGGGUACAGUGAUGCAUGCCAUAAUCCCAGUGACUCUGCAGGCAGGAGGAUUGGGAGUUUAAAGCCAGCCUCAGCAACUUAGGCCCUAAGAAUUUAGCAAGACUCUGUCUCAAAAAAUAAAAAGGGCUGGGAUUAUAGCUCAGUGGUUGAGCACCCCUGAUUCAAUCCCUAGUACCAAAAAGCAUUUUUUCAGCACUAUUGAAUUUAUUACUCCCUUAAUUAACUUAGUAUAUUUCUCUUGUAUACAAAACUAGGAAAUAAAAUAUAUUUCUUUUCUUUCAGACUUGGCAUCAAAAGCUGACCCCAAGAAGUUAUCUCCAAAAAGGGACAUUUAUGAAAUAGAAUCAUCCCCAUGGGCUAUUGUGGAAAAUUUUAUUCCUGAGGGAUCCAUUUUCAGGGAUAUUUGGGAAUGCAAAUGUCAUUUUGAGCAAAAGGAGUGUUAUUUCAGGCAAUUUAUGAUGUACCAUGAAAACGUGCCCAUUUUUAUUCAACAUACUUACUCAAAAUGGAAAGAAAAUCUCUGAAUGUGAAAAAUGUAGAAAAAACUUCUAUUAUCAUUUAUUCUUUUGUCAACACAAAAAUCAUUCUAAAGAACUUUCUGAAUGUAAAGAGUACACAGAAAUUAUUAAUACCCCGUUCCUUAUUAAACAACAGAUAAUUCAAUAUGGUAACCAAUGCAAUGGAUGUAAGAAAUGCUGGAAGACCUUUAUUCAUUGUUCACAACUUAAAAAACAUUUGAGAAUUAAUAAUGGUGAAAAACGCUAUGAAUGUAGAGAAUGUGGAAAGGCUUUUAAUUAUGGCUCAGAACUAAUGUUACAUCAGAGAAUUCACAUUGGUGAGAAACCCUAUGAAUGUUAGGAAUGUAGGAAGGCCUUUAGACAGAGAUCACAACUGACUCAACAUCAGAGACUUCAUACUGGUGAGAAACCCUAUGAAUGUGAGCAAUGUGAGAAAGCUUUUAUUUGUGGCUUUCAACUUACUGAACAUCUGCAAUUCCAUACUGGUGAGAAUCCUUAUGAAUAUAAAGAGUGUGGAAAGACUUUUAGGCAUCGCUCACACCUUACCAUACAUCAAAGAAUUCUUAUGGGUGAGAAAUCCUAUGAAUGCACGGAAUGUGGGAAAGCCUUUAGCUAUUACUCAAGCUACUCUCACCAUCAGAAGAUUAAUUCUGGUCAGAAGCCUUAUGAAUAUAGUGAAUGUGGAAAGGCCUUUCAUAAUUGGCUUAAAACUUAACCUACAUCAGAGAAUUCAUACUGGUGAGAAACCCUAUGAGUGUAAGGAAUGUGGGAAGACUUUUAGACAGUAUUCACACCUCAAAAGACAUUAACAAAUUCAUACUCAUGAGAAACCCCAUGAAUGUAUGAUAUGUGGUAAAACCUUUAGACUUCAUUCACACCUUAUUCAACAUCAGAGAAUUCACACUGGUGAAAAACCCUAUGAAUGUAAGGAAUGUGGAAAGACCUUUAGCUAUCACUCCAGCUUCUUGCAUCAUCAGAGAAUGCAUUCUGGAAAGAAACCUUAUGAAUGUGUCAAGGUCUUUAAUCAUGGCUUACAACUCAAUCUACAUCAGAUACUUCAUACUGGUGAGAUACCAGUAAAGUUUCCUCUCCUCCCUCCACAUCCAAGUUUCACUUCAUAAAAUUAUUUUUGGAGAAAAUACACCUUUUCCUCUCUAAUUUCCAUAUAAGAGAAAAUGUACGACCCUUGACCAUCUGAAAUGGGCAUAUUCCCUAAACUAAUGUUCUUAAGUUCCAUCCAUUUUCCUGCAAAUGAUGUAAUUAAAGUUUUCUUCAUGGCUGAACAUAACUCCCUUAUGAUAUAUACC
RNAcentral lists this long non-coding RNA (17243 nucleotides) under Marmota monax (woodchuck). The record is from RNAcentral. Lineage: Eukaryota; Metazoa; Chordata; Mammalia; Rodentia; Sciuridae.